UUCAACUCUUAAUCAGGUUCCUCUGGGGCACUACUAUGCCACAGUUUCAUGAACAUCAUUAUCAAGCCUGAUUUUUGCCCUGUGGCUGCAACAAUGGACUUUUCACCUAGUACAUGUUUUCACUCUCUGAACGAAGUCACGUGUUUUCUUUUUUUCCCCCUCAGGUGAGAUUUUUGGGAGGGAAUGUGACAUAGAGUUCUGGAUUUAUUCCAAUAAUUUUGGUAAAAUAGUACCUUAACCUUCCUACCUUGGGAUUCCCUGGUGGCUCAGAUGGUAAAGAAUCUGCCUGCAGUGCAGGAGACCCAGGUUCAAUCCCUGGGUCCAGAAGAUCCCCUGGAGAAGGAAAUGGCAAUUCACUCCAGUAUUUUUGCCUGGAGAAUUCCAUGGACAGAGGAGCCUGGCGGGCUACAGUCCAUGGGGUCACAAAAAGCUGGACACGGCUGAACGACUUCCACUUCACUUCACUUUGACCUUCACUUUCCUGAUUCCUUAUAACAUAUGUCCUUCUUCUCAUGGGGAAGUAAUCACCAGAUUCCCGGACUGGGGAGUCUCAAGGCAGAUUUUUAAUGAAGCUUUGGAUUGGGGUGUCAGAGCAGCAAGUGGCUGGACUGGUAUUCAAACCCUGACAACUUCUUCAUGAGGCAGAAGAGUGAAGAGGUAAGGCUGGGGGCUGGAGGCUGAUGUUUUCAAGGCUUUGAAGUCUCUCCUC
This is a long non-coding RNA of Bos indicus x Bos taurus (hybrid cattle), 709 nucleotides long. The record is from Ensembl. Lineage: Eukaryota; Metazoa; Chordata; Mammalia; Artiodactyla; Bovidae.